Molecule: ribosomal RNA, 292 nt
Filed under: uncultured prokaryote
Description: partial 16S ribosomal RNA
Rfam family: Bacterial small subunit ribosomal RNA
Source: RNAcentral
GUGCCAGCCGCCGCGGUAAUACGGAGGGGGCUAGCGUUGUUCGGAAUUACUGGGCGUAAAGCGCACGUAGGCGGACCAGAAAGUUGGGGGUGAAAUCCCGGGGCUCAACCUCGGAACUGCCUUCAAAACUAUUGGUCUUGAGUUCGAGAGAGGUGAGUGGAAUUCCGAGUGUAGAGGUGAAAUUCGUAGAUAUUCGGAGGAACACCAGUGGCGAAGGCGGCUCACUGGCUCGAUACUGACGCUGAGGUGCGAAAGCGUGGGGAGCAAACAGGAUUAGAAACCCCAGUAGUCC